UACGGAGGGGGCUAGCGUUGUUCGGAAUUACUGGGCGUAAAGCGCGCGUAGGCGGUUCGCUAAGUCGGGUGUGAAACCUCCAGGCUCAACCUGGAGACGCCACCUGAUACUGGUGUGACUCGAGUCCGGUAGGGGAGCGUGGAAUUCCUGGUGUAGCGGUGAAAUGCGCAGAUAUCAGGAGGAACACCAGCGGCGAAGGCGGCGCUCUGGGCCGGAACUGACGCUGAGGAGCGAAAGCGUGGGUAGCAAACAGG
RNAcentral lists this ribosomal RNA (254 nucleotides) under uncultured bacterium. RNAcentral's name for it is "partial 16S ribosomal RNA". It matches the Rfam family "Bacterial small subunit ribosomal RNA", at positions 524 to 776 of the family's 1533-position model. The record is from RNAcentral.